Molecule: ribosomal RNA, 393 nt
Filed under: uncultured bacterium
Lineage: Bacteria
Description: partial 16S ribosomal RNA
Rfam family: Bacterial small subunit ribosomal RNA
Source: RNAcentral
AUACGGAGGAUGCAAGCGUUAUCCGGAUUUAUUGGGUUUAAAGGGUGCGUAGGCGGUUUGCUAAGCGGGAGGUGAAAUGCCGGCGCUCAACGUCGGAAGUGCCUCCCGAACUGGUGGACUUGAAUGACUCUGCCGUGGGAGGAAUGUGUAGUGUAGCGGUGAAAUGCUUAGAGAUUACACAGAACACCGAUUGCGAAGGCAUCUCACGAAGGGUUGAUUGACGCUGAGGCACGAAAGCGUGGGGAUCAAACAGGAUUAGAUACCCUGGUAGUCCACGCAGUAAACGAUGAUGGCUAACCGCUGGGCUUAUCAGUUCAGUGGCCAAGCGAAAGCGAUAAGCCAUCCACCUGGGGAGUACGACCGCAAGGUCGAAACUCAAAUGAAUUGACGGGG